CUGAGAGCUACGGAAGCCAUCUUUCCUCAGCUUGUCACAUUCUGUGAAGAAGCCAGCAUAACAAUCCAGCACGUCAGACUGACAGUUGGAGAUCUCUACUGACAUCUUUUCUAAUGAAACCCUGCUGAGACCCCCCCCCCAGUCUUUUUGCAGAGUCCAAGAGCUUCUUGACAGCUCCACAUCAUUUCAGACACACAG
Molecule: long non-coding RNA, 198 nt
Organism: Pygocentrus nattereri (red-bellied piranha)
Lineage: Eukaryota; Metazoa; Chordata; Actinopteri; Characiformes; Serrasalmidae
Exons: 3
Source: RefSeq, a predicted model, not a curated record